Molecule: small RNA, 53 nt
Filed under: Sinorhizobium meliloti 1021
Lineage: Bacteria; Pseudomonadati; Pseudomonadota; Alphaproteobacteria; Hyphomicrobiales; Rhizobiaceae
Description: mini-ykkC.2008-01-16 RNA
Source: RNAcentral
GCAGACGGCUGCACGGAUCGAACAGAUCCGAACUUCCGCGGGGACGGCCUCGC